This 97-nucleotide small RNA is filed under the name Cebus imitator (Panamanian white-faced capuchin). RNAcentral's name for it is "Y RNA (ENSCCAG00000012048.1)". The record is from RNAcentral. Lineage: Eukaryota; Metazoa; Chordata; Mammalia; Primates; Cebidae.
UCCAAAGGUAGUGAGCUAUCCCAAUUGAUUGUCCACAGUCAGUUACAAAUCAAAUUCCUUGCCCUACUCUAUCUCCUCUUCUCACUACUGAAACUGA